Molecule: ribosomal RNA, 492 nt
Filed under: uncultured bacterium
Lineage: Bacteria
Description: partial 16S ribosomal RNA
Rfam family: Bacterial small subunit ribosomal RNA
Source: RNAcentral
AGUGAACGCUGGCGGUAGGCCUAACACAUGCAAGUCGAACGGCAGCACAGUAAGAGCUUGCUCUUACGGGUGGCGAGUGGCGGACGGGUGAGGAAUACAUCGGAAUCUACUUUUUCGUGGGGGAUAACGCAGGGAAACUUACGCUAAUACCGCAUACGACCUACGGGUGAAAGCAGGGGAUCUUCGGACCUUGCGCGAUUGAAUGAGCCGAUGUCGGAUUAGCUAGUUGGCGGGGUAAAGGCCCACCAAGGCGACGAUCCGAAGCUGGUCUGAGAGGAUGAUCAGCCACACUGGAACUGAGACACGGUCCAGACUCCUAUGGGAGGCAGCAGUGGGGAAUAUUGGACAAUGGGCGCAAGCCUGAUCCAGCCAUACCGCGUGGGUGAAGAAGGCCUUCGGGUUGUAAAGCCCUUUUGUUGGGAAAGAAAAGCAGCAGGUUAAUACCCCGCUGUUCUGACGGUACCCAAAGAAUAAGCACCGGCUAACUUCGUG